AAAUUAUAUUUAUGUCCCUAUAUAUAUAUAGAGUGAGGUUACUGUGCUAUCGGAAGCACGGAGCCUUCCGUGCUUCCAGCUUGUUUUCGGUGUUGUGACUUUCGAAUCGUCGAUCGGCUCCGUUAAACUUUAUCUAGAAUAUUUGAAGUAUCUAGAAAAUAAAUUUUAUGAUUUUACGAUAUCAUUUGCCUAGUACGAAGGGGCUCAAAAUCAACGGCUGAAAAUAAAAAUCUUACAAAAUGUAAUAAUAUGACAUUAAAAUUUUAAAUCAAAGAUAUUGAUCUUGUUUUAUAUAGUAUAAAAAUUUUUCUAUCAAAAUUUCACGUGAUUUGGAUAUUUCUACACCGUUAAACUUGCAAACGGCUCACUACGACCAUUGAAAUUUAUUGAUUUUGAGCCCAUUCGAUCACUAGGCAAAUGAUAUCGAAAAAUAAUAAAAUUUAUUUUCUAGGUACUCCAAAUACUCUAGAUCAAGUUUAACGGAGCCGAUCGACGAUUCGAAAGUCGCAACAUCGAAAACGAGCUGGAAGCACGGAAGGCUGCGUGCUUCUGACAGUAUAAUAGUCUCACUCUAUAUAUAUAUAUAUAUAUAUAUAUAUAUAU
Molecule: long non-coding RNA, 603 nt
Filed under: Ananas comosus (pineapple)
Lineage: Eukaryota; Viridiplantae; Streptophyta; Magnoliopsida; Poales; Bromeliaceae
Description: long non-coding RNA (ACOM_LNC016091)
Source: RNAcentral